AGUGAACGCUGGCGGUAGGCCUAACACAUGCAAGUCGAACGGCAGCACAGUAAGAGCUUGCUCUUACGGGUGGCGAGUGGCGGACGGGUGAGGAAUACAUCGGAAUCUACUUUUUCGUGGGGGAUAACGUAGGGAAACUUACGCUAAUACCGCAUACGACCUACGGGCGAAAGCAGGGGAUCUUCGGACCUUGCGCGACUGAAUGAGCCGAUGUCGGAUUAGCUAGUUGGCGGGGUAAAGGCCCACCAAGGCGACGAUCCGUAGCUGGUCUGAGAGGAUGAUCAGCCACACUGGAACUGAGACACGGUCCAGACUCCUACGGGAGGCAGCAGUGGGGAAUAUUAGACAAUGGGCGCAAGCCUGAUCCAGCCAUACCGCGUGGGUGAAGAAGGCCUUCGGGUUGUAAAGCCCUUUUGUUGGGAAAGAAAAGCAGCAGGUUAAUACCCCGCUGUUCUGACGGUACCCAAAGAAUAAGCACCGGCUAACUUCGUG
RNAcentral lists this ribosomal RNA (492 nucleotides) under uncultured bacterium. RNAcentral describes it as "partial 16S ribosomal RNA". It matches the Rfam family "Bacterial small subunit ribosomal RNA", at positions 29 to 507 of the family's 1533-position model. The record is from RNAcentral.